Molecule: transfer RNA, 59 nt
Filed under: Euhadra herklotsi
Lineage: Eukaryota; Metazoa; Mollusca; Gastropoda; Stylommatophora; Camaenidae
Description: transfer RNA-Val
Source: RNAcentral
CUAAGUAUAGUAUAAAAAAUAUAAUUCGCUUACAACGAAUAGAUCAUUAAGUACUUAGU